Molecule: long non-coding RNA, 773 nt
Filed under: Homo sapiens (human)
Lineage: Eukaryota; Metazoa; Chordata; Mammalia; Primates; Hominidae
Description: HSALNT0056031
Source: RNAcentral
CGCAGGCAGCGCUCCCGGCGGGGCGCCCCGCUCUGCGCCGUUCCCUCCGCCGUCGCCCAGCCACCGCCUUUCGCACGCGCCGGAACCGCUUUUGUGGUCUCCGAGACACUCAUUUGCUGUCCUGGUUUCCAAAGCUCCACGUGCUCAGCGCCGAAAACUUGCAAAUCAUUUGCUGUCUAUACUGGGCGCCCGCUGCGUGCCAGGUACUGCCACCGGCUCUCUCCUCACGGUGGAAUAACUUAACAGAGAAGACAGACAUCAAUCAAAUACCCUGGAAACGUGGAAGCCCCGCGCCAGCUCCAGGCACAGCCGUUCAGGGUGAUGCCAAAGGGAAAUGAGAACGCCUGGUUUCGAGUGCCAGCCUGAGGCCCCUUAAGCCCUAGCCUGGCUCCAAAAACUGCAGCCUGUUUCCCUCAACAAAAAUGACGUCAAGAAUACCUAGAUGUGACCACACCGAACUUGCUUGCCCGUUUUGGGAAACCCAACUUUCUUCCUGAAUAGUCAGAACCUCUGGCUUUCCUGGUCUCUUAAGAACCGCAAACUAUUGAAAAGCAGAUGCGUCUUUCAGCCUCUUUAAUAAAUGCAGUAAGGAGAGUUGGGACAGAGUUACUUUCAGACUGUGGGGCUCCCCCGUGCCAAAGCAUUCAGACGAAAUGUGGGGGAUAGCGGGGGGAAGGCAGGCAAUUAUCUGAAUGUUAAACAGCUGAAUAUUUGGAAACCCCAAUCUUUGGCUGAUUUUUAAAAACCUUUUUCACACGUGUUCUCAUGUUUAA